Molecule: ribosomal RNA, 253 nt
Filed under: uncultured bacterium
Lineage: Bacteria
Description: partial 16S ribosomal RNA
Rfam family: Bacterial small subunit ribosomal RNA
Source: RNAcentral
UACGUAGGUGGCAAGCGUUGUCCGGAUUUAUUGGGUUUAAAGGGUGCGUAGGCGGUUCUAUAAGUCAGUGGUGAAAUACGGCAGCUCAACUGUCGAGGUGCCAUUGAUACUGUGGAACUUGAGUACAGACGAGGUAGGCGGAAUUGACGGUGUAGCGGUGAAAUGCUUAGAUAUCGUCAAGAACACCGAUAGCGAAGGCAGCUUACUAGACUGUAACUGACGCUGAGGCACGAAAGUGUGGGGAUCAAACAGG